Molecule: small nuclear RNA, 96 nt
Organism: Mesocricetus auratus (golden hamster)
Lineage: Eukaryota; Metazoa; Chordata; Mammalia; Rodentia; Cricetidae
Source: Ensembl
GUGUUUGCUAUGGCAACACACUUACUAAAAUUGGACCAACACAGAGGAGAUUAGCACAAGGAUGGCAUGCAAAAUCACAUUUUUUAGUAUUUUUUA